Molecule: long non-coding RNA, 1422 nt
Organism: Pectinophora gossypiella (pink bollworm)
Lineage: Eukaryota; Metazoa; Arthropoda; Insecta; Lepidoptera; Gelechiidae
Exons: 2
Source: RefSeq, a predicted model, not a curated record
ACAACAGGACAGCUAUGACAAUACGGAACCUUCAGAGUGAGUAUACUACUCGCACUUCAUGCUUAUCUUUGUCAUUGCUCUUUAUCGAUUGAUAAAACUGCAUGAAGUACAUAUAUAGAUAAACAUUAUCUAUUUUAUGUAGUACUUAUUAUGUCUUUGAUAUGAAAGUGUAGCAAACGUCUAAUGUAAACCGUAUUAAUAUUUGAAUAUAAAUGCACGUAAAUGGCCAAACACAAGAUAAAGAAGACAAACCAGUUGAUUAUAAUAUUAAGACAGAUAACAGAAAAUUAAAAAAAAAACAUAAGUUUGAUGAACUGAAUUUGAUGAAAAGACACUUCCACAGACUGGUGAACGACGAAGGAAAGGAAAUAAGGAAAAGUCAAAAGGUUAUCUUAUCAAGAAUAACUAACGGCUGCAGAAAACACACAAACAAUAACCUGAAUGACCAAUAGGCAAGGAAAACUGAAAAAGUGUUUUUUUUUUUAUCUAAUGCUACAACACAUUGUUAUCUAGAAUGCCAAAAAUAACUGAUAACGAAGGACCAAUAAACAGAGCCACAGUUUACGAAUAUGCGUCUAACUUACUUCCUCCAGAAGACAUGAAUUUUCCAAUACCACCUCCUCCACCGCCUAUAGAUGAACCUACAGAAUCAAAAGCAACUGGAUGGAUGACGGAAGAACACAAAUAUCAAGCAGAAACAGAAUUAAGCUCUCAAAUACCAUCAUUAUCACUAUCAUUAUCAUCACCACCAACAACACCUCCACCAUCACCAUAACCUUCACCAACAAAAGAUGAAAUUGAAGUGGUAGCCGAUGAUGAAUGUGAUGAUAAUCAAUAAUCACUGAUGUAGUAAAUAAAACAUCCUAUAUGGCCUGUGUCUAGCAAAGGGUCUGAUGUCGUUAUAUGAGUCAUGUUAGGGGUCUUUGGUGGCUCAAUAAUAACCCUGACACCAGGGUUGAUGAGGUUGCUAAUCAACCACAUAACCCACACGAUAGAAGAAGCAGUGGGACGUAUAUCUAUAGGCAGUUUAUGUUUAUGUAGUAUAUGGUUUAUGUAUGCCUGUAGUAAGUAGAAUAUAAUGUAAUUGAACUCGGGAAUGCUACUAGCAUAGUGGGAACCUUUGGGAAGAGCGCGUUCCGCGGUGGUUUUUUUAUAUAUAUUUAAUUUAUAAUAUUGUGAACAAUAUGUAAAUUGAAUAUUAUGUACUUAAUAAAAAUAGGGUAUCAGUAACUGUCAGUACUAUUCAGAGGCGGAGGACAGGAGUCCUAGUAAGGCUUUGAAAUAGACUAAUACAGCGCCAUCCCACUCGCGUCAGACAGAGUACUGCGGAGCACUGCCCUAUUUUUCCCUAAACAAGGAGAAUGCUUCGCUGGCAAGAACGCUGGAAUUAGUGAUGAUAAAUAAAAAUAUUGUAAGACAUAA